Small nuclear RNA from Meriones unguiculatus (Mongolian gerbil), 107 nucleotides. The record is from Ensembl. Lineage: Eukaryota; Metazoa; Chordata; Mammalia; Rodentia; Muridae.
CUGCUCACUUCGGCAGCACAUAUACUAAAAUUUGAACAAUACAGAGGAGAUUAGCAUGGCCUCCACGCAGGGAUGACGCACAAAUUCAUGAAGAGUAGUCAGCUCUA